GACUGAGACACGGCCCAGACUCUACGGGAGGCAGCAGUAGGGAAUCUUCCGCAAUGGACGAAAGUCUGACGGAGCAACGCCCCGUGAACGAUGAAGGUCUUCGGAUCGUAAAGUUCUGUUGUUAGGGAAGAACAAGUACCGUGCGAAUAGCGGUACCUUGACGGUACCUAACGAGGAAGCCCCGGCUAACUACGUGCCAGCAGCCGCGGUAAUACGUAGGGCAAGCGUUGUCCGGAAUUAUUGGGCGUAAAGCGCGCGCAGGCGGUUCCUUAAGUCUGAUGUGAAAGCCCACGGCUCAACCGUGGAGGGUCAUUGGAAACUGGGGAACUUGAGGACAGAAGAGGAGAGUGGAAUUCCACGUGUAGCGGUGUAAUGCGUAGAUAUGUGGAGGAACACCAGUGGCGAAGGCGACUCUCUGGUCUGUUUCUGACGCUGAGGUGCGAAAGCGUGGGUAGCAAACAGGAUUAGAUACCCUGGUAGUCCACGCCGUAAACGAUGAGUGCUAGGUGUUAGGGGGCUUCCACCCCUUUGCUGAAGUUAACGCAUUAAGCACUCCGCCUGGGGAGUACGGCCGCAAGGCUGAAACUCAAAGGAAUUGACGGGGGCCCGCACAAGCGGUGGAGCAUGUGGUUUAAUU
This 637-nucleotide ribosomal RNA is filed under the name Halobacillus sp. ORH-8. RNAcentral describes it as "bacterial SSU rRNA". It matches the Rfam family "Bacterial small subunit ribosomal RNA", at positions 317 to 951 of the family's 1533-position model. Lineage: Bacteria; Bacillati; Bacillota; Bacilli; Caryophanales; Bacillaceae. The record is from RNAcentral.